CUCCCACUGCUGUUCAGCCCCGCUCAUAUCUGCAAUGACCUCUCCGUCCUGUGCACUUGGGGUUUGCAUUCAACAAACGCAUACUUUCAAUCGUUGAUUGUAUGCAUCCAACAAGUCUUCGAACCUAACAGCCAGUCGCCACCAGUGGGCUCCCAUUCAGAUGAGUGUGAAUCUGAGUGCAGAGAUGAUAAAUGUGGGAUGUCAGCUGGUGAUGUCUGGUGUCCCUGAAGCUCCAGUAUUGUUCAACCGCUGGGCCUGCCAGAGCAGCUAGCUGGCUGAGCAUGUGACGGACAAGCAGACAAGGGUGGAAAACAAGACGGGAAAGAAUGGAGUUUUAGGAUGUUCUCUGUGCGUGUAUGUGACUGUUUUUUGCAAGAGCAUAGAUGAUUAACAUAGGACAUGCAGAGGGCUGUGAUUCAUCAUCAUGUUGUGGUCUGUCACCGCCUGCACCCGUGUCCUACUUUACUGUAUUCAUGCAUGUUCUCUGCUCUAGGGCUGGUUGAUAGGGUUGAAAAUAUCAAGUUAAGUUGUGACCCUUGAUUUCUUGACACCCUUUGUUACUGGUGGUUCAGCAACAACUUUACUAACUAUUGUAUCUGAUUACAGUUUUUCCUAAAGACAGAUCAGUCAGUAAUUGGCCAGUUUUCAUCAUACUGAGCAACCACGAUGUGAUUUCAUGUUCUGCACAAAGAAAGUAGUUUUGAUAUAACAGCAGGGUACAGUAAAAGAAGUUGGAUGGUUACCUUGCUGAGAAGUUCGAGAUGUGCAGCCUGUCGUCUAACUGCUCACUGCAGCUUGUCCUAGCAAUAUUUAAAACGGAUCCACUGUCAAAAAUUGCUAAAAAUGGCUAUACAUUGUUUUGUAGAUGCAUUUUUGAUGAACAAUCGCUGUCUGAUACAUUGUAUUUCCUGUGACUGCUUCACAAUAAAAGCCAGUUGUUUGUGUUUAAUGUGAA
Micropterus dolomieu (smallmouth bass) is the source of this 955-nucleotide long non-coding RNA. RefSeq lists it as uncharacterized. Lineage: Eukaryota; Metazoa; Chordata; Actinopteri; Centrarchiformes; Centrarchidae. The transcript has 2 exons. The record is from RefSeq and is a predicted model, not a curated record.